CAGCCCGAAGUGAGCCGCAUCUCAACCAUAUACCCAAGGAGGGCUAGCAUGGCUGCGUCCAUAUGACAUGGAUAGAUGAAUAUUUCUUUUGCUGGCUUUCAGGUGGCAAGUCUUUUGUCUUUUCACGAACAAAGGGAACACGAUCUACUAAUUUCAUGAUCCGACCGAGGUACUGACGUCCUCUGCUUUACAUGGAAGACUACUAGCAUCUACUAUCUCACGAUCUCUGUACAUGUCUGUACAUGUACAUUUACUAGUUUCCAAGUCACACAACUUGUCAUAUCUCUAGGUAUAGCAUUAUACAUCACGGUC
RNAcentral lists this small RNA (312 nucleotides) under Histoplasma capsulatum var. duboisii H88. RNAcentral's name for it is "Histoplasma capsulatum H88 hypothetical RNA". Lineage: Eukaryota; Fungi; Ascomycota; Eurotiomycetes; Onygenales; Ajellomycetaceae. The record is from RNAcentral.